UACGAGUGGUCCAAGCGUUAGUCGGAAUCACUGGGCUUAAAGGGUGCGUAGGCGGGCCAGAAAGCGUCUUGUGAAAUCCCCCGGCUCAACCGGGGAACAGCAGGGCGAACUACUGGUCUUGAGGAAGGUAGAGGCCGGCAGAACGAUCGGUGGAGCGGUGGAAUGCGUAGAGAUCGAUCGGAAUGCCAAAGGUGAAGACAGCCGGCUGGGCCUUACCUGACGCUGAGGCACGAAAGCGUGGGGAGCAAACAGG
RNAcentral lists this ribosomal RNA (253 nucleotides) under uncultured bacterium. RNAcentral describes it as "partial 16S ribosomal RNA". It matches the Rfam family "Bacterial small subunit ribosomal RNA", at positions 524 to 776 of the family's 1533-position model. The record is from RNAcentral.